Molecule: ribosomal RNA, 477 nt
Filed under: uncultured organism
Description: partial 16S ribosomal RNA
Rfam family: Bacterial small subunit ribosomal RNA
Source: RNAcentral
ACACUCCUGCGGGAGGCAGCAGUGGGGAAUUUUGGACAAUGGGCGAAAGCCUAAUCCAGCAAUGCCGCGUGAGUGAAGAAGGCCUUCGGGUUGUAAAGCUCUUUUGUCAGGGAAGAAACGGUGAAAGCUAAUAUCUUUUGCUAAUGACGGUACCUGAAGAAUAAGCACCGGCUAACUACGUGCCAGCAGCCGCGGUAAUACGUAGGGUGCAAGCGUUAAUCGGAAUUACUGGGCGUAAAGCGUGCGCAGGCGGUUUUGUAAGUCUGAUGUGAAAUCCCCGGGCUCAACCUGGGAAUUGCAUUGGAGACUGCAAGGCUAGAAUCUGGCAGAGGGGGGUAGAAUUCCACGUGUAGCAGUGAAAUGCGUAGAUAUGUGGAGGAACACCGAUGGCGAAGGCAGCCCCCUGGGUCAAGAUUGACGCUCAUGCACGAAAGCGUGGGGAGCAAACAGGAUUAGAAACCCUAGUAGUCCCAUGAU